CAGCCGCCGCGGUAAAACCAGCACCUCAAGUGGUCAGGAUGAUUAUUGGGCCUAAAGCAUCCGUAGCCGGCUCUGUAAGUUUUCGGUUAAAUCUGUACGCUCAACGUACAGGCUGCCGGGAAUACUGCAGAGCUAGGGAGUGGGAGAGGUAGACGGUACUCGGUAGGAAGUGGUAAAAUGCUUUGAUCUAUCGAUGACCACCUGUGGCGAAGGCGGUCUACUAGAACACGUCCGACGGUGAGGGAUGAAAGCUGGGGGAGCAAACCGGAUUAGAUACCCGGGUAGUCCCAGCUGUAAACUAUGCAAACUCAGUGUUGCAUUGGCUUGUGGCCAAUGCGGUGCUGCAGGGAAGCCGUUAAGUUUGCCGCCUGGGAAGUACGUACGCAAGUAUGAAACUUAAAGGAAUUGGCGGGGGAGCAC
RNAcentral lists this ribosomal RNA (420 nucleotides) under uncultured euryarchaeote. RNAcentral's name for it is "bacterial SSU rRNA". It matches the Rfam family "Archaeal small subunit ribosomal RNA", at positions 459 to 879 of the family's 1478-position model. Lineage: Archaea; Methanobacteriati; Methanobacteriota. The record is from RNAcentral.